GACGAACGCUGGCGGCGUGCUUAACACAUGCAAGUCGAACGGAAAGGCCCUGCUUUUGUGGGGUGCUCGAGUGGCGAACGGGUGAGUAACACGUGAGUAACCUGCCCUUGUCUUUGGGAUAACUUCAGGAAACUGGGGCUAAUACCGGAUAGGAGCUCCUGCUGCAUGGUGGGGGUUGGAAAGUUUCGGCGGUUGGGGAUGGACUCGCGGCUUAUCAGCUUGUUGGUGGGGUAGUUGCUUACCACGGCUUUGACGGGUAGCCGGCCUGAGAGGGUGACCGGCCACAUUGGGACUGAGGUAGGGCCCAGACUCCUACGGGAGGCAGCAGGGGGGAAUAUUGCACAAUGGGCGGAAGCCUGAUGCAGCAACGCCGCGUGCGGGAUGACGGCCUUCGGGUUGUAAACCGCUUUCGCCUGUGACGAAGCGUGAGUGACGGUAAUGGGUAAAGAAGCACCGGCUAACUACGUG
Molecule: ribosomal RNA, 468 nt
Filed under: uncultured bacterium
Lineage: Bacteria
Description: partial 16S ribosomal RNA
Rfam family: Bacterial small subunit ribosomal RNA
Source: RNAcentral